Molecule: long non-coding RNA, 669 nt
Organism: Gasterosteus aculeatus aculeatus (three-spined stickleback)
Lineage: Eukaryota; Metazoa; Chordata; Actinopteri; Perciformes; Gasterosteidae
Source: Ensembl
GCCAACUGGGAACAUGCUGUGGAAUCUGACUUAGAUCACUGGAGGGAACCACCGGCCAUAAGAUGGAGCAGAAGGUUGGCAAGAAGUCCCACGAGUGAACGGAAGUAUUGUAGCCGAGGAGGAGCGGCGCCGCAUGGGGCUCUGGCAGUGGUGGCGACCGUUUAAUCACAACGUAACCUGCUUCGUCAACUAUUUUACUCUGUUCACUGAGUCAGAGAAUGGAAAUUUUGAGGUCGACUGGUGUUGCCUGUUCCGGACAGUUCCGAGCACAAAGUUCUAGAGCGAGGGAUGGGCGGCGGGUCCGGGAGAGAAGUCGCAGGGGAAAUUUAGAUAUUUAUCAGGCAAUGAGGGAGCUUCAAAACGGCUCCCAUGUGUUCUUUAUUUCAGCUGGGGUUUGAUGGCAAAUGGAGCGAGGCAAGAGCUGGCGAGACCCUUUCCCCAACACACAAGCACUGUGCGCGCGCACACACACACACACACACACACACACACACACUCAUACUCUACCCUGCCCACUAUCCCCCUCCUCCAACCGCAUCCACCGACUACAAACCAACACAGAGCAGAGGACUACUUUCCCAGACCCUGGUACCAGCUUGGACUUAUUAUAUUACCUCGAUUGGGUUUGUGACAAUACAGGAAGACAUGAGGUUUAAAGGAAUGCAGGCC